Long non-coding RNA from Hibiscus syriacus, 975 nucleotides. RefSeq lists it as uncharacterized. The transcript is spliced from 3 exons. NCBI's taxonomy places the organism in Eukaryota, Viridiplantae, Streptophyta, Magnoliopsida, Malvales, Malvaceae. The record is from RefSeq and is a predicted model, not a curated record.
UAGGCCCCCUCUUCAUUUUGCUUCUCACUGGCGAACCCUAACAGCCCCAAAUGUUCUGUCGAGAGAAUUGAGCACUUUCGAGUGAUCAAAAAAGUAAGUCAUCUUUCGAGUUAUACUUUCGAGUGAUCAAUGGCCAUAAGCCCAUAACCGACCACUUUGGCAGCAGUUAUCUUCCAAAGACGUUUUUCGUUUUCAUUUCCCUGCUCGACACCUUGCUUCCCUCGUUGCGCUCAGUUCAACUUGAAAGCCCAUCGGUUCAAGCUCAGCUCCUCUACGAUUGAACCCUAGAUCGGUCGAUUUUUUCUCCUGGAACUCCAGUGCCUCGGGAGGACGUAUGGCCAGCAAGACAAAACAAUUCAAACUCUGGUCUUUUUGACAUAUCGAGUGGCUCACCAGCAAAGCAACCAGACAUCCCGGUUAGGCGAGGUAGUGGUGCUCAGCCUACUUUUGGGAAUUCUGCUGCUAACCCUUCAAUGACAUUUGAGGAACCUGAUAAUAUAUCCUAUAAAGCGGCCUCAGCUCUCUCGUAACCGCAACAACCAUUUUACUUAAUCAAAAAAAAGAAACAAGAAAAAAAGGACGUAGCUUUGGUUGCAUCUGUUCGACGUGGACAUUCAAAACCAGUUGAAACUACCUGCACCUUUCCUCCAACAAGAUCAGGUUCCUCAGCUUAUUAAAAAUAGUUUCAUUUUCUAUGAAUUCUUUAAUUGAUUGAAAUUGUAGUUAUCAUCACAACGGUAAUGAACUUGGUCACGAACAAAUUGUGAAAUAUGAGUUUGUUUAGAUUUAAAUGCUGGAGGUUUAAGAUAUGUGAAAGUGAUUAGUUUUAUACUAAAUCUUAUAGUUUAAUGCUUAUGUUUAGGUUAUAACUUCUGUAUAAUAUUAGCAUUUAACAUUUGAUAUUGAAACUACAUAAAUACGAAAUGGAUAAGAGUUGGAUGGAUUUCUCAAGGGUAAGCGUCGAAUAUCGAAAUG